RNAcentral lists this ribosomal RNA (373 nucleotides) under uncultured bacterium. Its description in RNAcentral is "bacterial SSU rRNA". It matches the Rfam family "Bacterial small subunit ribosomal RNA", at positions 527 to 898 of the family's 1533-position model. The record is from RNAcentral.
GUAGGGGGCUAGCGUUGUCCGGAAUCAUUGGGCGUAAAGAGCGCGUAGGCGGCCCGGUAAGUCCGCUCUGAAAGUCAAAGGCUCAACCUUUGAAAGCGGGUGGAUACUGCCGGGCUAGAGUCCGGAAGAGGCGAGUGGAAUUCCUGGUGUAGCGGUGGAAUGCGCAGAUAUCAGGAGGAACACCAACGGCGAAGGCAGCUCGCUGGGACGGUACUGACGCUGAGGCGCGAAAGCGUGGGGAGCGAACAGGAUUAGAUACCCUGGUAGUCCACGCCGUAAACGAUGGGCAUUAGGUGUGGGAGGUGUCGACUCCUCCCGUGCCGGCGCUAACGCAUUAAAUGCCCCGCCUGGGGAGUACGGCCGCAAGGCUAAA